RNAcentral lists this long non-coding RNA (581 nucleotides) under Sus scrofa (pig). Its description in RNAcentral is "lncRNA (ENSSSCG00015032564.1)". Lineage: Eukaryota; Metazoa; Chordata; Mammalia; Artiodactyla; Suidae. The record is from RNAcentral.
GCAGACGCUGGGAACCGCGGGAGGACGAGGUCGGAGCAGAGAAGUGGACAUGUGCACUGUGGGCUGGCGGCGCCGCCGGGCGCCCGGGGCCGUGUGGGUGCACUAGACAGUGUGCGGGCUGCGCCGUGGCUGAGCCGUCUGCUGGGGCGGUGUGGUGAGGUGCGGUGAGCUCUACCCGACUGGCAAGAGGAGGAGGGCCUAGGUCCACACGCUAGGUGGCUGCUGUCCAGGCGCCUGGCGUUUUGACUCUGUUCCUGUGGAUUGCUGCUUGUCCUGACGUUCCAGAGAGGCUCCUGUUCCUGAAACAGCGGUUUUGGAACUUCCUCUACGUGGAAUUUGUGGGGCCUUGGAAGACCCCGCUCACACCCGAAACCUCUGCCUGGAUUGGUUGCAGCCCGGGCCGCGCGCCGAGGAGGAGAUCAUUGCGCUCUCGGUCCUCGAGCAGAACUGACGGUCCUCCCAGAGCCGGUCGAGCCCCGGGCGCCGGCGAGGAGGCCGGGGGACUGCGAGGCGCUCGUCAGCCUGCGGGAGUGGCACGCAGAGAUGUACGAGCCCGAAGGUGAGCCCCGCCGAGAGGCUGG